ACUACUUUCGCUAAUUAAUGUUCUCUCUAAAGUUUCUCCACUCUCAGGUAAAGAAUACCCUUAAGGAUCCCGGAGAGCUAGAAACGGAGUGGCCGGAGCUGAAAAUUGAAGAUUCAGAACUGAUCAAGGAUUGGGAGCGUCCCAAACUUGGACCCCGGUAGAAAGGACCAUUGCAGAUAGUAUUGCAAACGCCGACGGCAGUUAAAGUACAAGGGCAGAGACGUUGGAUACACCUCAGUGACAAUUAACCAUUUGUGGACUCAUUUUUACUGUGUAUUACAAUUGAUUCCUUUGAGGACAACUUGUUUUGUCAAGCAGACCAACAACUGGAAGCAUUUCAGUCUGGAGCUUCUGUUCAUGGCCAGGAGGAGAUUCAACUGCCCGCUCCGGGGAGGACGAAGAAGAUGCUUUGGAUCAGUCGACUUGCUUUGUUUUACCCACCACUCCCAACUUCGACGCUCAGUGUCACCAGCACUGGCCAUUUAGUCCAGCCUGGUAUCGGCACCCCCUCACCAACAAGUGUGGAAUCAUCACCCACUCUCACAAUGACAGCCACGUGGCCAGAUUAAGAACCCAGUUCUGGGCACAUCCCACAAUGGUCCUCCACUGACCCAAAAAUAUCGGACCACGUUGUUAGUGCAGUUGGCCCUGAAAAGAUCGUGCUCCUAUCGGCGUGGAGCGUCGCGCCACGGUGAACAGACAGACGUGUCCUAUCCCCAAGUCUUUUUCAUUCCAGGUGCAAAAACGAGAUCACGAACCCAUCAAAAACCGCGGGCAACGCAGGAUGAUGCUUGGGGUUGGAUGAGAUAUCUGUGUUUCCUCGGGGAACGCAUUGCGGAAGACGAAGGCCAUAAACUGUUUCCGUCGGACCGCACGAGCUGUCGGCGCUUGAGCGGUGCAGACACUGGACUGAACCGGAAGCGGAUGGGAAAUAAAACCAGUGUCGGAUUUACAAAGAGGGGCGGAGGACUGCAGAAACAUCUUUCACCGAAAACAGUGACACGGGUAGAUAGAGUGAUGAAUACCUUCAUCUUUCAGCGAAUUUA
Molecule: long non-coding RNA, 1046 nt
Organism: Hypanus sabinus (Atlantic stingray)
Lineage: Eukaryota; Metazoa; Chordata; Chondrichthyes; Myliobatiformes; Dasyatidae
Exons: 3
Source: RefSeq, a predicted model, not a curated record